Molecule: long non-coding RNA, 189 nt
Organism: Lynx canadensis (Canada lynx)
Lineage: Eukaryota; Metazoa; Chordata; Mammalia; Carnivora; Felidae
Exons: 3
Source: RefSeq, a predicted model, not a curated record
CAGGAGGCCAGACUGCCCUAGGGGUGGGAGGGGGGUGGGGCACACCGUCUGUCCUUGAAGUCAUCUAGGUAAGAGGUGAUGGUGGUGGCCUAGUCGUGGUUGGUGGCAGGAAACAGUGAGAAGCAGUAUACAGAUUCUAUGGCUAUGUGUGUGUGUGUGUGUGUGUGUGUGUAUAGAUAUAUAUAUAUA